This is a non-coding RNA of Callithrix jacchus (white-tufted-ear marmoset), 2213 nucleotides long. NCBI's taxonomy places the organism in Eukaryota, Metazoa, Chordata, Mammalia, Primates, Cebidae. The record is from RefSeq and is a predicted model, not a curated record.
GACCUACACAGCUGCCAUUAGGAAGCCCAACAGUGCUUCCAAUCAGGCCGGGUCCCUGGAUAAAGCCUCGCCCCUGGGCGUGGCCCCACCCCCAGGCAGGGUUAAGGGCGCUGGGCUGUGCCUCGAGUCUGAAAUCUUUCCUAUUGCUCUUUCGUUCCUCCCCACCACUCCACUCAGCUGUUAAACAACUUCUACCUUGAUAACCUGUAUAUGGAUGAGGAUGAUGACCUAUUUGGCACCGUUGGCCACUUUGGCUUCAGCGAACUCAAUGGGAUGGCCAAGAAGAGACCCUUGUGUUAGGAAUUCUUCCAAGUCUCCAAUACCUCAUGGACAUCUCAAAAGUGUCGAAUAAAAGAACCUAGGAUAAGACUGAGAAGGCCAUUAUCAGGCUCUCUACAAGGGAUUGGUCAUCUUUUAGAAACAAAAGAGGAAAACAGUAAGACCUAAACUAGUUCCUUCCUUUCCCUGAGCACAAGUUCUGGGAUACUCAAAAUCCACACCUCCAGAACAGUACAUGGAGAACACCACUGUAUAUUAAAAUAAACAUUUCUUGGGGAGGAUCAAUAUUCUUGGUUGUGCUAAAAAAAGAUUGCCCUCAUUAGAGGAUAUAUUGUCAUGAAAACUGAAAGGCUCUUUCUACAAGAACUGGAUUAUUCUUUAGGGAAAUUUUUGCUUCCCGUAAGUGCUGGAGAAGCAUUUUCUGUUUGCAUAGAAGAGUCAAAUCUCUGAACUCAGUGCCUUCAGCGGGUGUGCUGUCAGCCAGGGGCACCUGGCAUACUUGCAUGCAGGUGGGGCUUGGAUGGGACACAGGCUCACUAGAGGGCAAGGAAGGAAGAUUACUCUGGCAUAAUAGCUGCUCUUUAAAUGUCACAACUUUCUGGGGAUGACUGAUCCUAGUCCUGAUCCACCUAACACUUGAAAGGUAACUUGGGCCAGCAGAGACAGCUUCUUAGUUGUGGGGGUUAGGUACUUGACCCUUCUCCUUGCUGCUGGUCAGAGAGAACCCAUAGUUGGAGGGUUGUCUGUUGUCAGGCUCUGUCUGAGUCUGCAGCUCUUCUUUCUGCUGACUUAAUUCCCAGUCCUCAGGCUCCUGCCUGCAUGCUAGUUUCUCCUCUAAUAUCUUUCCAGUGGCUGUCAUGAGCUCAAGAGCUUCAAGAGGCCUCAUGAAUACAGGUCUACUUUCAACUAGGCCUUGGCACUAUGCAAAGGCUGGCAUGAACUUGUCUUUUUGCAUGGGACUUUCCUGCCCUCUGCUUUUUCUCUUGAAAUCAAUCCACUGAAAAAAUUGCCUCAUCUUUUUUCUGAAGUAACUUUCAGGAGGAAAUUGUUCUUUCUGUUACAGAGACUGAAGUCUCCUCUAAUUUCCUGUCCUCAGCAAGAUGGUUUUUCCUUGCAGCUUCGGAUAUCCCUAAUCCCAAGUCCUCGCUUCCACAUUCUCUUGCUUUGGGUCCCAAAAGGCUCUUGCUUCGGGUCCCUUCUUAGCUGAUGGGAAAUUCUUAUCCUGGCACUUCCAUAAGACAUACUUAUGGACUUGGGUUGUUGCAACUGCUGCAUGCUGAUCCCUGCAUCGUUUGGGUGGAUAUGCAGUACCUGGGAAGCUGCCCUGUCCUCACUGGAGACACUCUGGAAGUAAGCCAGUGAGGAAUCAGAAGUCAAGCUAUCAGAGGUGAACAUGUCUCUGGGACAGCCUUGAGCCUGACUAUGCUCCCCACUCUCCAAUCUAAACUUUCACUAGCCAGCUGUCCUUUAAAAUCUGAUGAUUUAGGAUCUUCAGCAAUCAAUAUUCUUGGUGGGAAGUAUUUGGUGGUCAGAGUAGUCUCUUCUUUACUGGUGUUCCUCAUUGAGGAGCUUCCCAACUCACUGGUUGUCAAGAUAUCAUUAGAUUGUUGUUGAAGAGCAUAGAGCUCCUCUAUCUCCCUGGACACAUUGGACAUAGAAAAAUGUUCUGAAGCCUGUACCACAGUUUUUUGCCCUGAAGCCUUUCUACACUAUUGCUGGAACUCACUUUCUCAUUCCUUGAUUCAUGUCCAGCCCUGUCUUGUUUUGUGGGCAGCUCUGAACUGUGUCUAUCAGCUAGUACAGUCUCAUUCUCUUUGUCUAUUAUGCUGUGUGUAGGGGGGCAUAAAAGUCUGUCUGCCCUCCUCAAUUCUCUAUAAGCUUAUGGUCAGUAUCAGAGGGUGACUGUCUCAAGGCUUCCUGUUCUAUGUUUACAG